GGGCGCAGCCUGAUGCAGCAACGCCGCGUGAGGGAUGACGGCCUUCGGGUUGUAAACCUCUUUUAGUAGGGAAGAAGCGAAAGUGACGGUACCUGCAGAAAAGGCACCGGCUAACUACGUGCCAGCAGCCGCGGUAAUA
This 139-nucleotide ribosomal RNA is filed under the name uncultured bacterium. RNAcentral's name for it is "partial 16S ribosomal RNA". It matches the Rfam family "Bacterial small subunit ribosomal RNA", at positions 373 to 525 of the family's 1533-position model. The record is from RNAcentral.